CCUACGGGCGGCAGCAGUGGGGGAUAUUGCACAAUGGGGGAAACCCUGAUGCAGCGACGCCGCGUGGAUGAAGAAGCGCCUCGGCGCGUAAAGCUCUGUCAGCAGGGAAGAAAAUGACGGUACCUGAAGAAGAAGCCCCGGCUAACUACGUUCCAGCAGCCGCGGUAAUACGUAGGGGGCAAGCGUUAUCCGGAGUUACUGGGUGUAAGGGGGGCGCAGACGGCGAUGCAAGUCAGGAGUGAAAGCCCGGGGCCCAACCCCGGGACUGCAUUUGGAACUGCUGGGCUAGAGUGCAGGAGGGGCAGGCGGAAUUCCUGGUGUAGCGGUGAAAUGCGUAGAUAUCAGGAGGAACACCGGUGGCGAAGGCGGCCUGCUGGACUGCAACUGACGUUGAGGCCCGAAAGCGUGGGGAGCAAACAGGAUUAGAUACCCGAGUAGUC
This 440-nucleotide ribosomal RNA is filed under the name uncultured bacterium. RNAcentral's name for it is "partial 16S ribosomal RNA". It matches the Rfam family "Bacterial small subunit ribosomal RNA", at positions 338 to 795 of the family's 1533-position model. The record is from RNAcentral.